UACGAAGGGGGCUAGCGUUGCUCGGAAUCACUGGGCGUAAAGCGCACGUAGGCGGCUUUUUAAGUCAGGGGUGAAAUCCUGGAGCUCAACUCCAGAACUGCCUUUGAUACUGGGGAGCUUGAGUCCGGGAGAGGUGAGUGGAACUGCGAGUGUAGAGGUGAAAUUCGUAGAUAUUCGCAAGAACACCAGUGGCGAAGGCGGCUCACUGGCCCGGUACUGACGCUGAGGUGCGAAAGCGUGGGGGGCAAACAGG
Molecule: ribosomal RNA, 253 nt
Filed under: uncultured bacterium
Lineage: Bacteria
Description: partial 16S ribosomal RNA
Rfam family: Bacterial small subunit ribosomal RNA
Source: RNAcentral